CACGGGGGGAGCAAGCGUUGUUCGGAAUUACUGGGCGUAAAGGGCGUGUAGGCGGUCAAGUAAGUGGAAUGUGAAACGCCUCGGCUUACCCGAGGACCUGCAUCCCAAACUGCUUGGCUUGAGUAUGGGAGAGGAUGAGGGAAUUCCUGGUGUAGCGGUGAAAUGCGUAGAUAUCAGGAGGAACACCGGUGGCGAAAGCGCUCAUCUGGCCCAAUACUGACGCUGAGGCGCGAAAGCUAGGGGAGCAAACGGG
RNAcentral lists this ribosomal RNA (253 nucleotides) under uncultured bacterium. RNAcentral's name for it is "partial 16S ribosomal RNA". It matches the Rfam family "Bacterial small subunit ribosomal RNA", at positions 524 to 776 of the family's 1533-position model. The record is from RNAcentral. RNAcentral also lists the same sequence under 1 other name.